CACCAAAGUGUUGAGUUCAGUUCUGGGUUCCUUCCCCAGUCCUGGUAAUAAAUCUUUGGUACAUCAGAUGGCUGAAGAUGAGAUGACGAGGUUGCAUUUGUGUAAUGCUGCUCUCACGUCUUCACCGACAUCU
Small nucleolar RNA from Tachysurus fulvidraco (yellow catfish), 133 nucleotides. The record is from RefSeq and is a predicted model, not a curated record. Lineage: Eukaryota; Metazoa; Chordata; Actinopteri; Siluriformes; Bagridae.